Molecule: ribosomal RNA, 428 nt
Filed under: uncultured bacterium
Lineage: Bacteria
Description: bacterial SSU rRNA
Rfam family: Bacterial small subunit ribosomal RNA
Source: RNAcentral
UGGGGAAUCUUGCGCAAUGGGCGAAAGCCUGACGCAGCGACGCCGCGUGAGUGAUGAAGGCCCUCGGGUUGUAAAGCUCUGUGGAGAGGGACGAAUAAGGGUUGGCUAACAUCCAGCUCGAUGACGGUACCUCUUUAGCAAGCACCGGCUAACUCUGUGCCAGCAGCCGCGGUAAGACAGAGGGUGCAAACGUUGUUCGGAAUUACUGGGCGUAAAGCGCGUGUAGGCGGCUUGGCAAGUCGGAUGUGAAAGCCCUGGGCUCAACCUAGGAAGUGCACUCGAAACUGCUGAGCUGGAGUCCUGGAGAGGAAGGCGGAAUUCUCGGUGUAGAGGUGAAAUUCGUAGAUAUCGAGAGGAACACCUGUGGCGAAGGCGGCCUUCUGGACGGUGACUGACGCUGAGACGCGAAAGCGUGGGGAGCAAACAGG